AAUGCGUCAUCGGGCCGCGCCGCCGGGCUAGUACCCUGAGCGCAGCGCCCUGCCGGGAUGUUGGGGUGAGAGGCGUGCAGGGACCUGGAUUGGCCAGUCCAGACUAGCCGUGCCAAAAAGGGGGCCUCGGAGUUGGGGGUAGUGGACCCAGGAGCAGAAAUCCGGCGACCGUGGCGCUGCAAUCACACAGCUUUCCCGUGGUUUCCUAAGUGGUCGCGGUGAUUUGUUUGCGGGGCGUGACGGAAGACUUGGUUAAAGGACUCCGCAGGCAAACAACGAUCUCUUCUGGGCAGCUACAGACCUCUCCUCGGAGGAGUCUAGGAGAGGCCUGGCUGGAAGCCCCGGCACCCGCCGGGCCCCGGGCCUCAGAUAAGUGAGGCGUCGUCAUGGCAACGCGGCUCAGGUCCCCACAAACUUCAUGCCAGGCCUCUCAGAUAAUUAAGAAAGAAAUGGAAAAGAUGGAAGAAUGGUGUGGAUAUGGAGAAGAGAAUGAUGCAGAAGAUGAACAGAUACAGGGACAGGGAAAGCGCCUGAAAAUCUCAAAUCUGGGGAAAGAAAGAGAAACAGCACUUUGUAAUGGCAUCCUAAUCUUGUUACCAAACAAACGGGGCUUGUUGCCCUAUACGCACAGAAGCCAAUAUUAUGGCGCUGGUUUUUUGAGAAAAGUUUUCAUUGCGAGUCAACUAACAAGGAGACAGGAGUAUAGCUCUAAUCUGUCUCCCUGUGCUGGCUUUAAGACGUUUUCUAUUUUUAUUAGAAAACGUUUAGGGGGUAGAUUCUGGGAUUAGUAGGUGAUUGGGGGAAGGAAAGAAGCCUGAAAAAUCCUCUGGCGUUCGCAGUUACCUCUUCAUGUCCCUUCAUGGGUCGCAUGUGCAAAUUUUGGAGGGAGUCAGUGUGAAACAUGGGGGAAGAUUCAAGCUGUGACGCCAGCAGGCUCAUUUUGUACAGACUCCAGGUAGCCAUCCAUGUUAGUACUAACCAAUUUCAGCCAGUUUGCUUUGUUUUGUUUUGUGUUUUAAUCUCACAAUGGAAGAAGUUUAGGUGUUUUAGCAAGUUGUUUUUUAUCUGCCGUCCUGCAUGCUCAAGAAUUUUUGUUAGUCCCUGGUUUCUUUAACUCUGAGACACGGUUUCACUCUUGUGAUUUUCUAUAUAUAGGUCUGUAGGAUUAAUCCAUUGCCUUUUUCUAAUUUAGGCAUGCAUGUAGAUAUUGGCUGUUAGCAAAAUUAGUGUUUGUCACAUCUCUCAUGAGAAUAAUUUUUUCCUUGUAGGCUGAUUUGUAAAUAGUGAAGGCAGUGCAGUUUCUUGUAGGUUUUGAUUUUAGAUGUGAAAUGUGUACAUUAAACCUUUCUUGCUGAGUUAGUCAAGUAAGCACUUUUUGUAAAAGAUGUUUUCAUAAAACACGUUUCAUAAGUAAAAUACAGUUUCUAAAGUUAAA
Symphalangus syndactylus (siamang) is the source of this 1435-nucleotide long non-coding RNA. RefSeq lists it as uncharacterized. Lineage: Eukaryota; Metazoa; Chordata; Mammalia; Primates; Hylobatidae. The record is from RefSeq and is a predicted model, not a curated record.